UAGCUCAGUGGUAGAGCACUUACCUAGCAAGUGUGAAGCAGCCCUGGGUUCAAUCCCCAG
Molecule: transfer RNA, 60 nt
Filed under: Rattus norvegicus (Norway rat)
Lineage: Eukaryota; Metazoa; Chordata; Mammalia; Rodentia; Muridae
Rfam family: tRNA
About the family: Transfer RNA (tRNA) molecules are approximately 80 nucleotides in length. Their secondary structure includes four short double-helical elements and three loops (D, anti-codon, and T loops).
Source: Rfam by way of RNAcentral